UGAGUUUGAUCAUGGCUCAGGACGAACGCGGGGGCGUGCUUAACACAUGCAAGUCGAACGCUGAAGCCUGGUGCUUGCACCGGGGGUGAGUGGCGAACGGGUGAGUAAUACGUGAGUGACCUGCCUUUGACUCUGGGAUAAGCCUGGGAAACUGGGUCUAAUACCGGAUGCGACUACUGCCCGCAUGGGCUGGUGGUGGAAAGGGUUAUGUACUGGUCUUAGAUGGGCUCACGGCCUAUCAGCUGGUUGGUGGGGUAAUGGCCUACCAAGGCGACGACGGGUAGCCGGCCUGAGAGGGUGACCGGCCACACUGGGACUGAGACACGGCCCAGACUCCUACGGGAGGCAGCAGUGGGGAAUAUUGCACAAUGGGCGCAAGCCUGAUGCAGCGACGCCGCGUGAGGGAUGACGGCCUUCGGGUUGUAAACCUCUUUCAGCAGGGAAGAAGCGGAAGUGAC
Molecule: ribosomal RNA, 458 nt
Filed under: uncultured bacterium
Lineage: Bacteria
Description: bacterial SSU rRNA
Rfam family: Bacterial small subunit ribosomal RNA
Source: RNAcentral